CCUACGGGUGGCUGCAGUGGGGAAUCUUGCGCAAUGCGCGAAAGCGUGACGCAGCAACGCCGCGUGGGGGAAGAAGGCCUUCGGGUUGUAAACCCCUUUCAGUUGGGACGAAGCUUCCACGGUGAACAGCCGUGUGGAGUGACGGUACCUUCACAAGAAGCCCCGGCUAACUACGUGCCAGCAGCCGCGGUAAUACGUAGGGGGCUAGCGUUGUCCGGAAUCAUUGGGCGUAAAGCGCGUGUAGGCGGCCCGGUAAGUCCGCUGUGAAAGUCGGG
This 275-nucleotide ribosomal RNA is filed under the name uncultured bacterium. RNAcentral describes it as "partial 16S ribosomal RNA". It matches the Rfam family "Bacterial small subunit ribosomal RNA", at positions 338 to 605 of the family's 1533-position model. The record is from RNAcentral.